This 497-nucleotide ribosomal RNA is filed under the name uncultured bacterium. RNAcentral describes it as "partial 16S ribosomal RNA". It matches the Rfam family "Bacterial small subunit ribosomal RNA", at positions 28 to 507 of the family's 1533-position model. The record is from RNAcentral.
GAUGAACGCUGGCGGCGUGCCUAAUACAUGCAAGUCGAGCGAACAGACGAGGAGCUUUCUCCUCUGACGUUAGCGGCGGACGGGUGAGUAACACGUGGAUAACCUACCUAUAAAACUGGGAUAACUUCGGGAAACCGGAGCUCAUACCGUAUAAUAUAUUGAACCGCAUGGUUCAAUAGUGAAUGACGGUUUUGCUGUCACUUACAGAUGGAUCCGCGCCGCAUUAGCUAGUUGGUAAGGUAACGGCUUACCAAGGCAACGAUGCGUAGCCGACCUGAGAGGAUGAUCGGCCACACUGGAACUGAGACACGGUCCAGACUCCUACGGGAGGCAGCAGUAGGGAAUCUUCCGCAAUGGGCGAAAGCCUGACGGAGCAACGCCGCGUGCGGGAUGAAGGUCUUCGGAUCGUAAAACUCUGUUAUUAGGGAAGAACAAAUGUGUAAGUAACUAUGCACGUCUUGACGGUACCUAAUCAGAAAGCCACGGCUAACUACGUG